RNAcentral lists this ribosomal RNA (328 nucleotides) under uncultured Flavisolibacter sp. Its description in RNAcentral is "bacterial SSU rRNA". It matches the Rfam family "Bacterial small subunit ribosomal RNA", at positions 568 to 898 of the family's 1533-position model. Lineage: Bacteria; Pseudomonadati; Bacteroidota; Chitinophagia; Chitinophagales; Chitinophagaceae. The record is from RNAcentral.
UGCGUAGGUGGAGUGGUAAGUCAGUGGUGAAAUCUCCAAGCUUAACUUGGAAACUGCCGUUGAUACUAUCAUUCUUGAAUAUCGUGGAGGUAAGCGGAAUAUGUCAUGUAGCGGUGAAAUGCUUAGAUAUGACAUAGAACACCGAUUGCGAAGGCAGCUUGCUACACGAUCAUUGACACUGAGGCACGAAAGCGUGGGGAUCAAACAGGAUUAGAUACCCUGGUAGUCCACGCCCUAAACGAUGAUUACUCGACAUCAGCGAUACACUGUUGGUGUCUGAGCGAAAGCAUUAAGUAAUCCACCUGGGAAGUACGAUCGCAAGACUGAA